UGCUUCCAUCUCUUCGACGGUACAGGUCUUCGGAUUCUGACGAGUGGCGAACGGGUGAGUAAUACAUCGGAACGUGCCCGAUCGUGGGGGAUAACGGAGCGAAAGCUUUGCUAAUACCGCAUACGAUCUACGGAUGAAAGCAGGGGACCGCAAGGCCUUGCGCGGACGGAGCGGCCGAUGGCAGAUUAGGUAGUUGGUGGGAUAAAAGCUUACCAAGCCGACGAUCUGUAGCUGGUCUGAGAGGACGACCAGCCACACUGGGACUGAGACACGGCCCAGACUCCUACGGGAGGCAGCAGUGGGGAAUUUUGGACAAUGGGCGAAAGCCUGAUCCAGCCAUGCCGCGUGCAGGAUGAAGGCCUUCGGGUUGUAAACUGCUUUUGUACGGAACGAAAAGACUCCUUCUAAUAAAGGGGGUCCAUGACGGUACCGUAAGAAUAASCCCGGCUAACUACGUGCCACAGCCGCGGUAAUACGUARGGNGCAAGCGUUAUCGGAAUACUGGGCGUAAACGUGCCAGGNGUUUAUAAANAAUGUGAAUCCCGGCUCACCUGGACUCUUU
This 562-nucleotide ribosomal RNA is filed under the name Acidovorax defluvii. RNAcentral describes it as "bacterial SSU rRNA". It matches the Rfam family "Bacterial small subunit ribosomal RNA", at positions 56 to 627 of the family's 1533-position model. The record is from RNAcentral. Lineage: Bacteria; Pseudomonadati; Pseudomonadota; Betaproteobacteria; Burkholderiales; Comamonadaceae.